UCAAGGUCUUAAUAGGUAUACUUGCAACAUCUAGACAGGUGUGUGUGUGUGUGUGUUGGGGCAAAUUGGAGCUAAACUCUGCAGGACACCACCCCUCCAAGACCAAAUUUGGUGACCCCUGCUCUAGCCCAGUGGUUCCCAGCACUGCACAUUUUGCUUCUCUCCUUUGUCUUGACGCAACCAUUUCAGGUCUUGCAGUUUCUACUUAUAAGCUGAGGAUCUGAAUUAGGUGCAUCACCUCUGAUGCCGAAUAUGAGGAAUAUAAGAAAAAAAA
Molecule: long non-coding RNA, 274 nt
Organism: Carassius auratus (goldfish)
Lineage: Eukaryota; Metazoa; Chordata; Actinopteri; Cypriniformes; Cyprinidae
Exons: 2
Source: RefSeq, a predicted model, not a curated record